RNAcentral lists this non-coding RNA (117 nucleotides) under Pan paniscus (pygmy chimpanzee). Lineage: Eukaryota; Metazoa; Chordata; Mammalia; Primates; Hominidae. RNAcentral also lists the same sequence under 1 other name. The record is from Rfam by way of RNAcentral.
GCUGGGCGUGGUGGCUCACACCUGUAAUCCCAGCACUUUGGGAGGCUGAGGCGGGUGGAUCACCUGAGGUCAGGAGUUCGAGACCAGCCUGACCAACAUGGUGAAACCCUGUCUCUA